RNAcentral lists this ribosomal RNA (435 nucleotides) under uncultured bacterium. Its description in RNAcentral is "partial 16S ribosomal RNA". It matches the Rfam family "Bacterial small subunit ribosomal RNA", at positions 29 to 507 of the family's 1533-position model. The record is from RNAcentral.
AACGAACGCUGGCGGCAUGCCUAACACAUGCAAGUCGAACGAUUGCCUUCGGGUGAUAGUGGCGCACGGGUGCGCAACGCGUGGGAAUCUGCCCUUAGGUUCGGAAUAACAGCUGGAAACGGCUGCUAAUACCGGAUGAUAUCGCGAGAUCAAAGAUUUAUCGCCUGAGGAUGAGCCCGCGUUGGAUUAGGUAGUUGGUGGGGUAAAGGCCUACCAAGCCGACGAUCCAUAGCUGGUCUGAGAGGAUGAUCAGCCACACUGGGACUGAGACACGGCCCAGACUCCUACGGGAGGCAGCAGUGGGGAAUAUUGGACAAUGGGCGCAAGCCUGAUCCAGCAAUGCCGUGUGAGUGAUGAAGGCCCUAGGGUUGUAAAGCUCUUUUACCCGGGAAGAUAAUGACUGUACCGGGAGAAUAAGCCCCGGCUAACUCCGUG